This 202-nucleotide ribosomal RNA is filed under the name Trypanosoma vegrandis. RNAcentral describes it as "partial small subunit ribosomal RNA". It matches the Rfam family "Eukaryotic small subunit ribosomal RNA", at positions 410 to 604 of the family's 1831-position model. Lineage: Eukaryota; Euglenozoa; Kinetoplastea; Trypanosomatida; Trypanosomatidae. The record is from RNAcentral.
CCACUUCUACGGAGGGCAGCAGGCGCGCAAAUUGCCCAAUGUCAAAAAAAACGAUGAGGCAGCGAAAAGAAAUAGAGCCGGCAGUGCCACUGGCAUUGCCGUUUUCAAUGGGGGAUAUUUAAACCCAUCCAAAAUCGAGUAUCAAUUGGAGGACAAGUCUGGUGCCAGCACCCGCGGUAAUUCCAGCUCCAAAAGCGUAUAU